CAGACAGCUCCACGUACCUCUAAACAUGGGAAAUUCAGCAUGUUGCUACAUAACUCCAGGCCUGGGGGCAGAAUUGGAGGGAAGGCUCCAGAUCUUAAGUCUCAGAAGGAACCUCACGCUUCCAUGCCACAGGGAUAUGUCGUCACUGGAAAGGAAGACAUUCCCAGGCCUCUAAUUCUGUUCUUAACAGCCACUGGACAGACCUGCAGCUGACCUACCAGCAGCAGUCAACGACAGCUGAGAUUGGCAAGAGACUGAAAAGGGAACGUGGAGGCUGCCCCUUCUUGUGGCAUAUUAGCAGACCCUGCAUUUGUACAGAAUGCUUUAUAACCAACAACAGGUCUUCUGUUCUGAAUUUGUCUAACCUAUUUUGGAUUCAUUUAUUUUCUGAAUUUUACAGAAAAAAAAAUUAGGAAAAAAAAGGUGACAACGAGCUCCACAAUUUCAUUAUG
This 452-nucleotide long non-coding RNA is filed under the name Gallus gallus (chicken). RNAcentral describes it as "lncRNA (ENSGALG00010006830.1)". The record is from RNAcentral. Lineage: Eukaryota; Metazoa; Chordata; Aves; Galliformes; Phasianidae.